RNAcentral lists this ribosomal RNA (301 nucleotides) under uncultured bacterium. RNAcentral's name for it is "partial 16S ribosomal RNA". It matches the Rfam family "Bacterial small subunit ribosomal RNA", at positions 509 to 807 of the family's 1533-position model. The record is from RNAcentral.
CAGUCGCCACGGUAAUACGGAGGGUGCAAGCGUUAAUCGGAAUUACUGGGCGUAAAGCGCACGCAGGCGGUCUGACAAGUCAGAUGUGAAAUCCCCGGGCUUAACCUGGGAACUGCAUUUGAAACUGUCAGGCUGGAGUCUUGUAGAGGGGGGUGGAAUUCCAGGUGUAGCGGUGAAAUGCGUAGAGAUCUGGAGGAAUACCGGUGGCGAAGGCGGCCCCCUGGACAAAGACUGACGCUCAGGUGCGAAAGCGUGGGGAGCAAACAGGAUUAGAUACACGCGUAGUCCCUGUCUCUUAUAC